Molecule: non-coding RNA, 580 nt
Organism: Jatropha curcas
Lineage: Eukaryota; Viridiplantae; Streptophyta; Magnoliopsida; Malpighiales; Euphorbiaceae
Source: RefSeq, a predicted model, not a curated record
CAAGAUGAUUCAGAAGUGACUAAUAAGCAUUGUGACAAAAGAUCUUCUAGCAAGUCCAGCUAUCAAAACAAGUCAUCUCAGUAUUUGUCACAUUCUGCCAAUAAUUCCGGUAGACAAAAGGAUGACGAGAAAUUGGAUGUUAUGGAUAGGCAUCUAAGAAGCUCAUAUGAGAAUCAUAGCUCAAAGUUUCUGGCGAAAAAUGCUUUUGAGGAUAGAUAUGACCCUGCAGUAUCUAAUGACACAAAUCAAGAUGAUGUGUAUGCUAACAAGAAGUAUGUCAGAGCAGAGAAAUUCCAUAAGUAAAAUUGCAGCAAUUCUGCGACCGCUUAUCAUGAGAAAGCCUUAAGUUUUAUGAUAUGGUAGGAAGUCAUCAGGCUUCAGCAAUUUUGUCUGCUUCUGUAUCCUCCGUUGUAUCCUUAACUGUUUUAUCAUUAGUUCAAUUGACAAUGAGUAGCAAUCGUCAAUUAAGUUGAAAUGACAUUACUGUGAAAACUAUUUAAUACUUACUUUAUACUGUCAUAUUUUCCCAUAUCAACAGAAAUAGUUAUUAAUAAUGUCUACACCUGAGAUGUUUCUUGUG